Molecule: long non-coding RNA, 841 nt
Filed under: Homo sapiens (human)
Lineage: Eukaryota; Metazoa; Chordata; Mammalia; Primates; Hominidae
Description: non-protein coding lnc-GPR63-7:1
Source: RNAcentral
AGGGGCCAAAGCCCGGUAAGAAUUAACACAAAAAUCAGAGGCCUAUGCUUGAAGUCUGAAGAAAUCUGUCAGUCAAAAUAUUUCACUAGGGCUUGAAUGCUGUUCAAAAUAUGUGGUGAUAUUUGUGGUCUAUCUAUUAUAUAUCUUAAAAUUUUAUUUUAUUUUUAAUUUUUGGCCUUUUUUGAGUAUGAUCGUUUGCCUUGAAAAACAGCUACUGUUUCUUGGAGAAUAGAAGAUGGAGAAAUACAUGGUUCAUUUACUAGAGACUAUCAGUGUACUGUUGGCCUAAAAAAACCAACUAUUCAGAUAGUUUUUUCUUCAGAAAGGAAAUUAUGAAUAUCAGUAGAACUAAUGGAUUUUAUAACGAAUAUAAAAGAAGACACACUAUUCAAUUAUGAAAAAUUUCCAGAGUAACUUUUUACAAGUGUAGGUAUCAUAGAUGAGACAUUCCAAUAUCAUGAAAUCUUUAAUCCCAAAAUCUUUACAAAUCGAUGGAGCAACUUCAACAAAUUGUAAGACCAACUUAUAUACCAGAGCAAACUCUUUUUUGUGAUAUUUUGUGAACUGUUCCUAGAAAGAUGUCUCAGUCUGGGGUGAAAAUGAUGAGGAAUAUCUUUUCUAUUUAGAUCAGAAGUAGCUGCAAAACAUUUCCAUACAAAAGAUUUGAACUUACACAGAAAGCUUUUCAGUUGAUUAAAGAUGGUUAUGAAUUUCACCAAACUAUUGUGGAGAAUUUGAUAAUUCAGGUGCCAUGAUAAAUGUGAAAGAAAUGCUUGUUUCUAUUCUUUCUGUAUUUUUAAAGUUUCAGGAAAAAUAAAGCCAAAUUUCAAUAGUUUCAUAA